Molecule: ribosomal RNA, 1458 nt
Filed under: uncultured organism
Description: SSU rRNA
Rfam family: Bacterial small subunit ribosomal RNA
Source: RNAcentral
CGGCAGGCCUAACACAUGCAAGUCGAACGGUAACAGGAAGAAGCUUGCUUCUUUGCUGACGAGUGGCGGACGGGUGAGUAAUGUCUGGGAAACUGCCUGAUGGAGGGGGAUAACUACUGGAAACGGUAGCUAAUACCGCAUAACGUCGCAAGACCAAAGAGGGGGACCUUCGGGCCUCUUGCCAUCGGAUGUGCCCAGAUGGGAUUAGCUUGUUGGUGGGGUAACGGCUCACCAAGGCGACGAUCCCUAGCUGGUCUGAGAGGAUGACCAGCCACACUGGAACUGAGACACGGUCCAGACUCCUACGGGAGGCAGCAGUGGGGAAUAUUGCACAAUGGGCGCAAGCCUGAUGCAGCCAUGCCGCGUGUAUGAAGAAGGCCUUCGGGUUGUAAAGUACUUUCAGCGGGGAGGAAGGGAGUAAAGUUAAUACCUUUGCUCAUUGACGUUACCCGCAGAAGAAGCACCGGCUAACUCCGUGCCAGCAGCCGCGGUAAUACGGAGGGUGCAAGCGUUAAUCGGAAUUACUGGGCGUAAAGCGCACGCAGGCGGUUUGUUAAGUCAGAUGUGAAAUCCCCGGGCUCAACCUGGGAACUGCAUCUGAUACUGGCAAGCUUGAGUCUCGUAGAGGGGGGUAGAAUUCCAGGUGUAGCGGUGAAAUGCGUAGAGAUCUGGAGGAAUACCGGUGGCGAAGGCGGCCCCCUGGACGAAGACUGACGCUCAGGUGCGAAAGCGUGGGGGAGCAAACAGGAUUAGAUACCCUGGUAGUCCACGCCGUAAACGAUGUCGACUUGGAGGUUGUGCCCUUGAGGCGUGGCUUCCGGAGCUAACGCGUUAAGUCGACCGCCUGGGGAGUACGGCCGCAAGGUUAAAACUCAAAUGAAUUGACGGGGGCCCGCACAAGCGGUGGAGCAUGUGGUUUAAUUCGAUGCAACGCGAAGAACCUUACCUGGUCUUGACAUCCACAGAACUUUCCAGAGAUGGAUUGGUGCCUUCGGGAACUGUGAGACAGGUGCUGCAUGGCUGUCGUCAGCUCGUGUUGUGAAAUGUUGGGUUAAGUCCCGCAACGAGCGCAACCCUUAUCCUUUGUUGCCAGCGGUCCGGCCGGGAACUCAAAGGAGACUGCCAGUGAUAAACUGGAGGAAGGUGGGGAUGACGUCAAGUCAUCAUGGCCCUUACGACCAGGGCUACACACGUGCUACAAUGGCGCAUACAAAGAGAAGCGACCUCGCGAGAGCAAGCGGACCUCAUAAAGUGCGUCGUAGUCCGGAUUGGAGUCUGCAACUCGACUCCAUGAAGUCGGAAUCGCUAGUAAUCGUGGAUCAGAAUGCCACGGUGAAUACGUUCCCGGGCCUUGUACACACCGCCCGUCACACCAUGGGAGUGGGUUGCAAAAGAAGUAGGUAGCUUAACCUUCGGGAGGGCGCUUACCACUUUGUGAUUCAUGACUGGGGUGAAGUC